AGUGAACGCUGGCGGUAGGCCUAACACAUGCAAGUCGAACGGCAGCACAGUAAGAGCUUGCUCUUACGGGUGGCGAGUGGCGGACGGGUGAGGAAUACAUCGGAAUCUACUUUUUCGUGGGGGAUAACGUAGGGAAACUUACGCUAUACCGCAUACGACCUACGGGUGAAAGCCGGGGGUCUUCGGACCUUUCGCGGUUGAAUGAGCCGAUGUCGGAUUAGCUAGUUGGCGGGGUAAAGGCCCACCAAGGCGACGAUCCGUAGCUGGUCUGAGAGGAUGAUCAGCCACACUGGAACUGAGACACGGUCCAGACUCCUACGGGAGGCAGCAGUGGGGAAUAUUGGACAAUGGGCGCAAGCCUGAUCCAGCCAUACCGCGUGGGUGAAGAAGGCCUUCGGGUUGUAAAGCCCUUUUGUUGGGAAAGAAAAGCAGCAGGUUAAUACCCCGCUGUUCUGACGGUACCCAAAGAAUAAGCACCGGCUAACUUCGUG
RNAcentral lists this ribosomal RNA (491 nucleotides) under uncultured bacterium. RNAcentral describes it as "partial 16S ribosomal RNA". It matches the Rfam family "Bacterial small subunit ribosomal RNA", at positions 29 to 507 of the family's 1533-position model. The record is from RNAcentral.